This 340-nucleotide ribosomal RNA is filed under the name uncultured bacterium. RNAcentral's name for it is "bacterial SSU rRNA". It matches the Rfam family "Bacterial small subunit ribosomal RNA", at positions 28 to 334 of the family's 1533-position model. The record is from RNAcentral.
GAUAAACGCUGGCGGCGCACAUAAGACAUGCAAGUCGAACGGAAGUCGUUACGAAACGGAGUGAAGAUUUAUCUGAAUGAAGUUUUGUAACAAUGGCUUUAGUGGCGGACUGGUGAGUAACACGUAAGCAACCUGCCUAUUAGAGGGGAAUAACAAUGAGAAAUGACUGCUAAUACCGCAUAAGCGCACGUCAUCGCAUGAUGGUGUGUGAAAAACUCCGGUGGUAUGAGAUGGACCCGCGUCUGAUUAGCUAGUUGGUGGGGUAACGGCCUACCAAGGCGACGAUCAGUAGCCGACCUGAGAGGGUGACCGGCCACAUUGGGACUGAGACACGGCCCAA